CAGUAGCCACGGGAAUACGGAGGGAGCUAGCGUUGUUUGGAAUUACUGGGCGUAAAGCGCGCGUAGGCGGUUAUUUAAGUCAGGGGUGAAAGCCCGGUGCUCAACACCGGAACAGCCCUUGAGACUGGAUAACUUGAAUCCAGGAGAGGUGAGUGGAAUUCCGAGUGUAGAGGUGAAAUUCGUAGAUAUUCGGAAGAACACCAGUGGCGAAGGCGGCUCACUGGACUGGUAUUGACGCUGAGGUGCGAAAGCGUGGGGAGCAAACAGGAUUAGAUACCCGAGUAGUCCCUGUCUCUUAUAC
RNAcentral lists this ribosomal RNA (301 nucleotides) under uncultured bacterium. Its description in RNAcentral is "partial 16S ribosomal RNA". It matches the Rfam family "Bacterial small subunit ribosomal RNA", at positions 509 to 807 of the family's 1533-position model. The record is from RNAcentral.